This 812-nucleotide long non-coding RNA is filed under the name Homo sapiens (human). RNAcentral describes it as "novel transcript". Lineage: Eukaryota; Metazoa; Chordata; Mammalia; Primates; Hominidae. The record is from RNAcentral.
CGGGGUGGCGGCCGGGCAGAGGCUGCAAUCUCGGCACUUUGGGAGGCCAAGGCAGGCGGCUGCUCCUUGCCCUCGGGCCCCGCGGGGCCGUCCGCUCCUCCAGCCGCUGCCUCCCGGGCGGCGCUCGCCGGCGCGGCGGCAAAGACUGAGACAGCUCCGCUGCCCGCUGAACUCCAUCCUCCCGGCGGUCGGGCGGCGGCGGCUGCGGUCGGUCGCGGCAGCGGCUCCGCUUCAUAUCUGCAGCUGGGGCUCGCGGGCGUCAGCGCCGCGACUGUCCCGGCUCCGCACUGCCCCGCGCCGCAGCGCAGCCGCGCCAACCACCACCCGCGGCCACCAUGGCCGGACGGGCUCCCUAAGCCCAACUUUUCAAGAAUAGUCAGUACAAUAAGAUAUAAAUAGAAACAACAAAAAGUUAAAAAGCAGGAGAACGAAAUUAAGAGACAAGAUCUCACUGUGUUGCCCAGCCUGGAGUGCAGUGGUGUGAUCACAGCUCACUGCAGCCUUGAAAUCCUGGUCUCAAAUAAUCCUCUAGCCUUGGCCUCCCAAAGUACAAGAAUUACAGGCAAUGGUCACUGCACCUGGCCUGGAUCCACUUUUAAAUUUGUCAAGAGGUUAUGACCAAGAAAAUUUAGAAUGAUUUAUCAUUCUAAAUAUAUAAAAAUAUUAUGUAUUCUCAUGCAAUGUAUCGACUCUACAAAAGAGAUGCCCUCCCCCACAGACACACACACACUCACACUCACUCUUAUCUUUACUUCCACUAAAACACACUCCUGUCUCAAUUUUAACUGUAGUUGGUAUCUCCAGUAGAAAGA